This 1013-nucleotide long non-coding RNA is filed under the name Notechis scutatus (mainland tiger snake). Its description in RNAcentral is "lncRNA (ENSNSUG00000013062.1)". The record is from RNAcentral. Lineage: Eukaryota; Metazoa; Chordata; Lepidosauria; Squamata; Elapidae.
GUUCGCGUGCGCUGGAUUCGCAAGCACGGGGGUCGCGCCCGGCGACGCGCGUUUGUAACAACAGCCGCUUUGGCUCCUAACUUUCAGUCCUGACCCACUGCUGGCCCACUGGUGGGAUUAAAGAGACCCCCCUUUUGGGGUUCUGCUCCCACUCCCCACAUCUCCCCUUCUCUGCUGCCUUCGUCCCAUUCCCUUGUUUCUCCGGAAUUUCUUUCAACCCCAAACUUCUUCGCAACUCCUCAAGGUGUUUUUUUUUAAACUCCUCACACCUGCCCGACAUCCAUUGCCUGCUCUAGGCGGCCCCGGAUACCUGUGCGCACAGCUGGAGACACCUUGGAGCUCCCAGCUGCUAAAGGUUCCCUCCCUGGUCCAUUCCUUCCUUCCUUCUUACCUACCUACCUACUUUCUUUUCAUCUUUCCUUCUCUCCUUCCUCUCUCCUUUUCCCUUUCCUUCCUCCCUCUCUCCCCUUUUCUCUUCCCCUUUUCCACCUACUUAUCUACUUUCUUUUCUUCUUUCCUUCCACUCUCCACCUUCCUUCCUCGCUCUCUCCCUCCCUUCCCCCCUCCUCUAUUUUCCACCUACCUACAUACCUACCUACCGGUACCUUCCUUCCUUCCUUUUCCACCUACCUACCUACACUUCUUCCUUCCUUCCCUCCCUCCCUUCUUUCCUACCAACCUACCUAUCCUUUCCUUCCUCCCUUCCCGCUCUUUUUCCACCUACCUACCUCUCCUUCCUUCCUUACCUGCCUUAACUACCUUACCUACCUACCUACCUCUCCUUCUCGUCUCAGAUCUCUCAGCAACGACGCUCCUGUUUCUGCCCUCGACGACCCACUUCAGCCUCCCUCACCUUACGACGCCUCCUGCGACCUCACCUUCUGCAAAGUCGCAUACGGGCAGAGAGGGAGAGAUAGCGUCUGUGGGCUCCCUCCACCAACCCACCUGCCCCGGCGCCGGCCCGCAACUCACCUGGCAUUGGGCGGCUCAGCAGCUCCGAUGCGGCUCGUUUG